RNAcentral lists this long non-coding RNA (1123 nucleotides) under Solanum tuberosum (potato). RNAcentral describes it as "long non-coding RNA (STUB_LNC004578)". The record is from RNAcentral. Lineage: Eukaryota; Viridiplantae; Streptophyta; Magnoliopsida; Solanales; Solanaceae.
UUGGCGAUUCGAGUUUUUUAAUAUUAUUUGUUUUAUUAGGAUUAAUGUCUAUUUCUGGAGUUACUUUCUUUUUAUCUUUUGUAAUUCUUUCUAUUUGAUUUUUGAUUGUACUUGUUCUAUCAGUCAAAUCCUUCAUUUUUGUUUCUAUCAGUGAAGAAUUUGGCCAAUUUCCAGAUUCAAUUUGACUAAAUGAUUCGUUAAUUAUUUGAUUACUAAUUAGAUAAUCUUUUUCUUUUUUUGUUUCAUUGGAUUCAGAUAUUUCUUUGAAUCUAAAUAAUACAAUUGGAUUUACUUUUGAAAGUUCUUUUUUUAUUUUUUUUAUAAAUCCAAUACUUUUGAUAAACCAUUUUUUGGUUUCUUUUGAAACUCUUCUAAAUAAUUUUGUUUUUCCUUUGAAAAUUUUUAGAGUUAGAAAAUAUUUCUUUUUGAAUUUUCCAAUUUUUUUUUCGAGUUCCUUAAAAAUGGGCUCAAAAAAGGAAGGGCGCUUUCGGGGAGAACCAAAGGGAAGUUCAGCUUCCAUUCCCCAAACUGUUAAAAAACAAAAAUCAUCUUUUUGUUUUUGCUUUUUCAUUAGCUCUCCGCGGGAGGGGUACAGUUUAGAUAUAUGCCAAGGUUUCAAACAAAAAGGAAAUAAAACUUUGAUCUGAAUCCGUUUCUAUCAGUGAAGAAUUUGGCCAAUUUCCAGAUUCAAUUUGACUAAAUGAUUCGUUAAUUAUUUGAUUACUAAUUAGAUAAUCUUUUUCUUUUUUUGUUUCAUUGGAUUCAGAUAUUUCUUUGAAUCUAAAUAAUACAAUUGGAUUUACUUUUGAAAGUUCUUUUUUUAUUUUUUUUAUAAAUCCAAUACUUUUGAUAAACCAUUUUUUGGUUUCUUUUGAAACUCUUCUAAAUAAUUUUGUUUUUCCUUUGAAAAUUUUUAGAGUUAGAAAAUAUUUCUUUUUGAAUUUUCCAAUUUUUUUUUCGAGUUCCUUAAAAAUGGGCUCAAAAAAGGAAGGGCGCUUUCGGGGAGAACCAAAGGGAAGUUCAGCUUCCAUUCCCCAAACUGUUAAAAAACAAAAAUCAUCUUUUUGUUUUUGCUUUUUCAUUAGCUCUCCGCGGGAGGGGUACAGUUUAGAUAUAUGCCAAG